Molecule: long non-coding RNA, 457 nt
Filed under: Mytilus galloprovincialis (Mediterranean mussel)
Lineage: Eukaryota; Metazoa; Mollusca; Bivalvia; Mytilida; Mytilidae
Source: RNAcentral
CCCAUUCUUCAAAAUAUUUGACGAUCUAUAGGAAAAUCCGUCGUAGAUUAUGCAUUUUUUUCCUCUGUUCGUUUCUGUAUGUACUAGGUCCAUUUUUAUGUGUGAUCAAAUGUUGAGUGUGAUUACCUUUUUAUGUCUACGGAUAAGGUGAACACUUUUAAAACAAAUAAUUUUCAUUGGGUUUCUCAAUGAAGUUUAACUAAUCCCUACCAGAGUCAACUAGUUAUAUCUAGUAUAUUGUAGAUAUAAGAUAGAUCAGAACCUUUUCUUUAUUAAAAAAAAAAUAAUAAUAAUUUAUCUUAUAUAUGAUAUUCAAAUAUUUAAAUAUUUAUAAUUUACAAUUUACCAGGUAAAUUUGCGGAAAAGUAAUAAAUACAAAUUGCGGAAACGUAUACUUUAAAUUUGCGGAAACGUAGUAUUGGGAUUUUGAAAAAUUAGCGGAAAUGCAAUACGCCCA